GACGAACGCUGGCGGCGUGCUUAACACAUGCAAGUCGAGCGGUAAGGCCCUUUCGGGGGUACACGAGCGGCGAACGGGUGAGUAACACGUGGGUGACCUGCCCUCAGCUCUGGGAUAAGCCUGGGAAACUGGGUCUAAUACUGGAUAUGACUCCACGGUGCAUGUCGUGGGGUGGAAAGCCUUGUGCGGCUGAGGAUGGGCCCGCGGCCUAUCAGCUUGUUGGUGGGGUGANGGCCUACCAAGGCGACGACGGGUAGCCGGCCUGAGAGGGCGACCGGCCACACUGGGACUGAGACACGGCCCAGACUCCUACAGGAGGCAGCAGGUGGGGAAUCUUGCGCAAGUGGGACGAAAGCCUGACGCAGCGACGCCGCGUGAGGA
Molecule: ribosomal RNA, 381 nt
Filed under: uncultured bacterium
Lineage: Bacteria
Description: bacterial SSU rRNA
Rfam family: Bacterial small subunit ribosomal RNA
Source: RNAcentral